CUAUUUUAGAGCCUGCCAUAUUCAGUAAUGUUGAUCUAUUUCUUAUGCCUCUCCCUGUAAUAACUAGUUGCCGUAGUUACCUCAUGUAUCUAAGGCAACCAGAUGUUACAGACGGAGGCACUGAAAUAGCAUCAACAAGUACAAAAAUUAAAUGGUUCAACUAUUUUGCCUGAGUUAAGCCACUCAGGGCUCCUUCCUUCUUGGCUCUGGAAUUUGUCACUUCCUCUGAUCACACCUGCUGGCCUGUUCCCACCUUUCUGCUGCAGCUGUUUGGAACUGUAGACAUCCCAGUGUCUGGGAUGGACAGGAGUGAUUCCACACUCCCCUUCCCCCAGGACUGAUGGUCAUUGGACAGCUUGACUUUUCUAUUAAGGACAUAUUUCUGGGCUCACAACAUAUUGAAAAUGUGGCAGUGGGGGAGCAAGGGGUAUUUACAGUUAGGGCAGACCUGGAAGCAAUGACCUGAUUUUAUUCAGUUUGGGAAAAAUCUCCUCACAGAAUGAGGAGGAUUUAUCUCAUUAUUGGUUAGGGGUUUUUUUAAGAAGACAAUGCUUGCAAGACUCUCAGGUGAUUUCUAAGUACUGCCCCAUGAAGAACCACUGGCUUCUAAGACAUCAACAGUGGUGCAGUGGUGCUGUUUUCAUGCCAAGUUGGUCAAACUCAAAAUAUUAAGUGGCUGAUCCCUGUUUCCACCUUACUAGGGAGCUCACUGAGCUCUCAAAGAGAAAAGUAAAUUGUUUCUUACAUAUAAUUAUUUUCCUUAAUAAAGUUGCAGCUGCUCCAAGUCGCCCAAAGAGUUGGAUGUCUGGAAUGAGUCUUCCUUCAGGUGCAGUGCAACACAUGGGGAAUUGGAAAUACAGCAUUGAAAAGGCAGAAAGCACAAAGUUCUGGAAGAAAUAAGAAUGGCAGUGCAUGCACAUGUUGAAAAUCCAAAUCCCUGUUGGAGGAUAACUGCCCUGGGGUACCUGGCCCAAGCCCAGUGUCUUAGACAGCCGAAGGCUUUCCACGAGAAAAUUCCUGUGGGUUUCUGUGAAGAACCCACCUCCCGUUGCCACCAGCCCCACCACCCAGUCAGAACAUAGACCCGAGGCAAAACCACGGCCUUGCUCCCCCUGCCAGAGAAAUCCUGCUUCACUCCCCGGCUGGAAGCUGAAAUAUGUGCUUCCCGUGCGUGGCUCGAGCUCCUCAGGAAAACUUCAGCUACAUCCAAAUUAAUAACUGAACACAAGCAUCCCAGCCUAAGACCGGGCUUACUGUGGGAACGACUGGAUGCUGGCAGCGAUAUUGGCUGCGGCGGGAGGUGAGCACGGCCAAGCUAAACAACCGCCGUCUGCUCCCAUGUCCUCCUCCUCCUCCUCCUUGUGAGCGGCAGCCCUUCACUGCUCACCAUGAGGCCGGGAUUGGGGAAUCCUGGUCAUUGGCCCUGCUAGCCAAGAGGUGAGGGAGCCCUUUCCACACCUGGACUUUGGGAUCUAAAAACACGGGAUACUCAAUGCACCUGGCUGCGUGCACUAUAAACCACUUUCACCUUCUUACUCGAGCUGUGGGAAUUUGCAUGCAAAAAGCCCCAUUAGGCCCCAUCAAAGGAUAUUUAGGUUGCUGGUGUUGAAUUACCAGAAGCAGGCAGUUUAGUUCUGAGUAGAAAGUGUUUCCCACUUAAAAGUGAAACGGUGUCAUGGGAAGGUUUCCCUCACCUGUAAAUAACAGUUGUACAGCUUUGCUUGCUGGGUCUUCACCGCAAUGUUAAAAUUUAAUUUCUGUAAUGACAGGAGAUUGAGUUUCAGGAAAGGUAAAAUUUCAUCCUGGUUUUCUUUUUUUUUCAGUGUUAAAUAUUUUUACACAAGGUGUUGACCAUCAUUUAUGGAUGUAUUGUUUCACCAUUACCAAGUGAAAUAAAUUUGGUUUAUGCUACA
This 1913-nucleotide long non-coding RNA is filed under the name Zonotrichia albicollis (white-throated sparrow). Its description in RNAcentral is "lncRNA (ENSZALG00000014422.1)". Lineage: Eukaryota; Metazoa; Chordata; Aves; Passeriformes; Passerellidae. The record is from RNAcentral.